GGAAGUAAAAGUCGUAACAAGGUUUCCGUAGGUGAACCUGCGGAAGGAUCAUUAUUGAUUUUUCUAAUGAGGAGUUGAGUUGUUGCUGGCCUCUGGGGAUUAGUUUCUCCAAGGCAUGUGCACACCUUCUCUUUCAUCCACACACCCCUGUGCACUUGUGAGACAGUAAGGUUUCUUUUUUUGGGGGGCCUUGCUGUCUACUUAAUCUACACACACUCUAUUUAUUUUAAAACGAAUGUAAUUGAUGUAACGCAUCUAAUACUAAGUUUCAACAACGGAUCUCUUGGCUCUCGCAUCGAUGAAGAACGCAGCGAAAUGCGAUAAGUAAUGUGAAUUACAGAAUUCAGUGAAUCAUCGAAUCUUUGAACGCACCUUGCGCUCCUUGGUAUUCCUUGGAGCAUGCCUGUUUGAGUAUCAUGAAAUCUUCAAAGUAAACCUUUUUUGUUAAUUCAAUUUAGGUCUCUUACUUUGGUCUUGGAGGUUAUUGCAGCUUCACACCUGCUCCUCUUUGUGCAUUAGCUGGAUCUCAGUGUUAUGCUUGGUUCCACUCAGCGUGAUAAGUUAUCUAUCGCUGAGGACACUGGUAAAAAGGUGGCCAAGGUAAACGCAGAUGAACCGCUUCCAAUAGUCCAUUGACUUGGACAAUUAUUUAUGAUCUGAUCUCAAAUCAGGUAGGACUACCCGCUGAACUUAAGCAUAUCAAUAAGCGGAGGAA
This 715-nucleotide ribosomal RNA is filed under the name Rhizoctonia solani. RNAcentral's name for it is "eukaryotic LSU rRNA". The stretch from base 264 to 417 matches the Rfam family "5.8S ribosomal RNA". Lineage: Eukaryota; Fungi; Basidiomycota; Agaricomycetes; Cantharellales; Ceratobasidiaceae. The record is from RNAcentral.